CCCUUAGAUGUUCUGGGCCGCACGCGCGCUACACUGUUCGACGCAGCGAGUCUUAACCUUGACCGAAAGGUUUGGGUAAUCUUCAGCAAAGUCGAACGUGAUGGGGAUCGAUCAUUGCAAUUAUUGAUCAUGAACGAGGAAUUCCUAGUAAGUGCAAGUCAUCAGCUUGCGCUGAUUACGUCCCUGCCCUUUGUACACACCGCCCGUCGCUACUACCGAUUGAAUGGUUUAGUGAGAUCUCUGGAUUGACGCUGGCUAGGGGGCGACCCUUGGCCAGGCUGUCGAGAAACUGCUCAAACUUGAUCAUUUAGAGGAAGUAAAAGUCGUAACA
This 331-nucleotide ribosomal RNA is filed under the name uncultured eukaryote. RNAcentral describes it as "partial 18S ribosomal RNA". It matches the Rfam family "Eukaryotic small subunit ribosomal RNA", at positions 1470 to 1796 of the family's 1831-position model. The record is from RNAcentral.